RNAcentral lists this long non-coding RNA (371 nucleotides) under Apteryx owenii (little spotted kiwi). RNAcentral's name for it is "lncRNA (ENSAOWG00000008575.1)". Lineage: Eukaryota; Metazoa; Chordata; Aves; Apterygiformes; Apterygidae. The record is from RNAcentral.
GUCGGAAGCGGCCGUGAGCAACCAAUCCUGAGUCUCUUCUCCAUGGCGCGCGGGAGUUUUAAAAUCAGGAUUUUAUAGACAACUGCUGUUGUUUGCCAUAAGAAAUACAGCAUCCUGCUCUGGAAUUGUACCGUAACUGCUGAAGUUACUGCCGUCAGCACGUGCCAACCCACUGCUCUGGAGCACCGCCGCGCUCGGAGAGAGCGACCGUGGCUGCACCGAGGGAAAGCCCUUUCCCACUGAAGCAAAAGCGCCCCGGCGCCUGGAAGAGGGAAGACGGAGCCAGUGCAUCCGUGCUCACUUCCUCGUUCUGCGCCGAGCUCUCCGCACGUUUAGCUCUUCAGAAAGGACUUUGCGGUAUUAAAACCCAG